CGCUUGUUCGCUCACCCUCAGUGAAAAGAGUUUUGAAAUGAGUUCUGAAUAGACAGCAUUUUCUUUGUGCGGUUGGUAAAUAACCCAGAGCAAAGUUAGCAAGUUGCAGCGCCUCUGCGUUCUGAUUCUAUGGAACCUUUUUGUAGGGAGAAGGGCAGGAUGUGUUUAACUGAAUGUGACCUCACGGGAAUACGAGAGAAAAUAAUAAAGUUUCUGAAUGGGGCAGCGUGGAGAAAUCCUAAGAGGAUUAGCAUAAGAGCAUUUUGGAACACAUCCAGGAAAAGAUAACUUUCGACACACCUGUAGACAUUCGCCAGGUAAAGGAGCGAUGGGAACUCUCCAGUUCAGAUCCAGUAGCUUUUAGGGAAGGUAAGUAAAAGCUAUUGAAAAAUAAACUUUUCCCCCAAAGAAAAAGAAUCUCCAACUUUUCAACAUCCAUCAAAAACCUGAGACGUUGAGGAAUUUCAUUUUGGAGGAUCAGCAAAGAUGCUUGAUUUGGUUAGUGUUGGUAUCCUCAUGGUAAUUUUGGUUAUAUUCAUACAGAUUUUUUUCAGAAAGUGUUUACACCUGUUUGUUCUUAUUUGUGACUUCAUAUGUCUGAUAUUAGGGGCAUUAAUAUGUAAAACAUUCAGAAUUAAAAUGUAUGACUAAAAAAUGUGGUAGACAGGAUAAAGUCCCUCACAAAAAUAUCCAUGAACUCCCUGAAAUCUGUGAAUACAUUAUCUUUCACGGCAAAGGGAUGUGAUUUAAUGAGGAACUUUGAGAUUAUCCUGUUAAUCUAAAAAAGACAAACUAAUCACAUGAUCCUGAAGAAAAAGGCCAAAGAAUGAGUCAGGGAGAUGCAAUGUGAGAAAGACUCAGAGUAACCCACCAUUGCUGACGUUGAAAAUAGAGGAAGCAGGCCAUUCGCCGAAAAAGGCAGUGGGCUGUGGAAGCUGGGCAUGGCUCUCAGUUUAAGGCCUGCAAGAAAACAGCAGUCUCAGUUCUACAACAGCAAGGAACUGGAUUCCACCAACAGUCCAGUGAGUAAGGAAAUGCAUUCUCCUUUGGAGCUUCCAGAAUGGAAUGUAGCUUAACGUGGUUUUAGUCUGGUGAGACCAUACCAGACUUUGAACCUCUAGAACUGUAAGAUGACAGCUUUGUGCCUUUGUCAGCCAUCACAUUUGUGAAGAUUUGUUACAGCAAUAAUAGAAAACUAGAACGGAUAAUAGGCCCACCUAUAGAUGGGACAUAUUUUGUAGCUGCUGAUCUAAAUCCUGUGAGUAAAUUUCUGUAUUUGAAUGAAGAAAAACUUUUCUUGAGAGGCUAAGAUUGAUAGUCUAUAAGAAUUGGAAUAUUGAUUUUGUUGAUUCAAAUGAUGCUUUUUGCCAGCUUAGAGAGUUCUGUUUUCUACUUUGUGAUAUCCCUCCUUCCCCAGAAAUUCUUUGUAUGCCAUAUUUGUAAACACAAUUCCUGUGUCACCCAAGAUGCAGAUGAGUACAUGCUUUAUUGGACUUUUUAGUGAGUCUCUGUUUACUUGAGCAUGGGUGAGUGGAAUGGAACAUCAAAGGAUCGAAGGCCAGGUCUCUGCUGUAGAGAUCUGACAGGCAAAGAAUGCUAAGCCUAGUGCUUGAAAGCAGAUGGUGGCCAUGUGAAUCCUGGUUCUACCUCGUUCUACCGGUGUGAACCCUGGGUAAGGUGGUGAGCUCAAUUUCCUUCCCUAAUCUCACAUGUAACAUUGAUAAUACUUCACCGUAGGCAUGCUAAGAUGACUAAGUAAAACAACACACAUAAAUUCUAGCAAGAGUGUCUGUCAUUCUAUGAGUUUGGUAAAGGUAACGUGUGUUUAUUUAGAAAAUAUUGUGUCGCCUCACCAUUUUCAUUCAAAAAAUAAAUUGGUUUUGUCUUUA
This is a long non-coding RNA of Saimiri boliviensis boliviensis (Bolivian squirrel monkey), 1889 nucleotides long. RefSeq lists it as uncharacterized. The record is from RefSeq and is a predicted model, not a curated record. NCBI's taxonomy places the organism in Eukaryota, Metazoa, Chordata, Mammalia, Primates, Cebidae.